Non-coding RNA from Lolium perenne, 2942 nucleotides. The record is from RefSeq and is a predicted model, not a curated record. Lineage: Eukaryota; Viridiplantae; Streptophyta; Magnoliopsida; Poales; Poaceae.
AUAGUUGGUGAACGCGCUACACACGGACAGUACUGAGUGCUGACGGAGCGAUUUGGGCACGGCAUCGAUUGGUAUUGCCGGCUAACGCCCAUGCCCUGAAGUAUGCACACUGGUGUCACCCACGGCAGGAUCAUGUCUUGACCCGGGCAAUCAACGCUCGCAGAUGGUACCGAGCGCCCCAAAAGUCACCUCGUGUGCCGGCGCUUGUGACGAGUAAAAUACAUCUACGGUCACUAAACUUGUGUCGUAUUCUCACAAAGGUCACUGGACUCAGAAAAGUGAAAGAUACGGUCACUGAAUAAUCCCAAGUUGCUCACUACGGUCACCGCGGCCAUUUGGAUACGUUUGGCGUUGACGUGGCAUACGAUUGACUAGACCCUCGUGAGAUCACGCACCUGCACAGGGCUUUUCUGCAAAACGAUCAGAAGGCAGUCUUACUUAAACUGUUACACACGGUCCUGACUAUUCGGAUCAUUUGAGAGGGCUGUCAUCGUGUGCAGUUGGCCCCGGUGAUCGUGGGUGGCGAUCUCGUAUCGGAGAAGAAGGAUCUGCACAUCUCCCUCGACAAGCGACGUGGCCUGUUCGUCGGCCGUACGGUGACCCUCCGCCUGCGUAUGGUUCAAAUGGCGAAAAGUUCAGUGUUCAGUUGAACCAUGGCGGUUACUUUCUCGGUACGGGACAGAACAGGGCAUAUGUUGGUGGCAGUGCUGUUUGGUAUGAUCACUGUGAGAAGGGUGGCUGGUCAUCAGAUUCAUUGGUCUGAUUGAAAAUCUAGGAUAUGAAUCUGAAGGUAGGAUCAAGAUUUAUUUCUGUUUCCCCGGAUGGUCUGUCAACACAAAGGGCUUACUUGAGAUCAGAGGUGAUUUACAGAGUGACAAGAUGGUAGAAGCAGUCAAUAGUGAGUCCCCUUUAGCUGAUCCGCAACCAGUUAUCGUCAGUCCUACUAAAGAAGGAAGGCAUCUGGAUGUUGAAUUAAAACCAAUUCAUCUUAUUUGCCCUGGCGCACAACCUGAAGUGAAGAAGACAAAGAGAGAGUUAGCAAUGGAUGAAGCUAAUGAGAUGGAUGACAAUAUUUCAGUUAACUCUGAAGAUUCCGAUUAUGAGCCUGAGAUCAUAGACAGUGACUAUGAUGUGAGUGAUGAAGACUCUGGUCUUCAAGAAGAUGUCGUUGAUGAAGAAGGUAGUUACAAAGGUAAGCAUGUGCAUAUAGCAGACAAUUCUGAUGACGAUCUUGAACUACUAGAUUCAGAUGAAGAGAACAUAAGAUAUAACUUCAAGACAUUCAGACCUGAAGACAUGCACAAGCCAGCUUUCCAGUCAGGGCAGGUGUUUGGGAGUGUUGAGUUGCUGAGAAAAGCUAUUAGAGAGUACAGUUGUAAAAACAGAGUGGACAUUAAAUUACCAAUCAAUGACAGGCAGAGGCUUUGUGCUAAGUGUGAACCUGGUUGUCCUUGGUAUAUGUGGGCAUCAACUGAUAGUAGAACCAAGAGUUUUCAGAUCAAGAGGUUUGAUGGGGAACACACCUGCAGCAAGAAGUGGAAAGUCAGAGCAUUUACCUAUGUUUUCUUAGCAGAAAAGUAUGUCGAGACAUUUAGGGCCGAUGAAGAUAUGAAUAUGAAAAACUUCUCGAGGAUUGUUCAGAAGGAUUGUAAUAUGGGACCUACGAGGAGAAAAUUACAGAGAUCAAGGAGGUUAGCAUUGCAGGUUGUGUAUGGGGAUGAGAAUGCACAAUACAAGUUGCUAUGGGACUUUGGAGAGGAGCUAAGAAGGAACAAUCCUGGAAGUACAUUCUUGUUGUCAGUAGAUGCGAUGUCAAGGUUCAAGCAAUGCUAUAUGUGUGUUGAUGCUUGCAAAAGAGGCUUCUUGAAGGGAUGUAGGCCAGUAAUAUGUCUAGAUGGCACCCAUAUCAAGGCACGGUGUUAUUAUUCGCUGCAGCUAUUGUGGUGGGCCUGGACACAACAUAGGUGGCUGAAAUGACAAAAAGAAUGGUAUGCCACCAAAGCAAUAUGUCAGCAAGAAGAAAAAAGAAGUUGUUAAACUCCUUCCGGAUUCAUCUGAUGAAGAUGAGCAUGUUAUCACUCAGGAUCACAACAUGGAAUGUCAAUCUGGGUUGAACAAUGAAGAUCAUGUUCACAUUGGCACGACAAUGCUUGAUGAGAUGCUCCAACAGAGACAUGUUCGUGUGGAGCCACAGUUUGAGCCACUGCCCGAAUCAUCUUUCAUCGUAGCUGCUCGGGAAAAGGCCAGUCAGACAGGUUGCUGUUCAGCACAACCAAGACAGGGAGAUUUGGCAAAAGAGGUAGAAGAAAUUAAGCAAGCUAAGAACAAUGCAUCAGCUAAGAAGAAAGAAGAGGCAAUGCAAGCAAGGAUUAGAAAAGAAGAAGAGGCAGUAGCACUGAAAGCGCAGAUUGCAAAGUUAAAAGCAGAUGAGUCACAACAAAAGAAGAUGUUGGCUGCACAGAAGAAAAAGGAAGAACAAGCUGCAAAGAAAGAAUAAGCUGAAGACAGAAGGAGGCAAAGAAAGUUGCAGCUACUGAGAAGAAAGCUCUGCAAGCAGCAACAAAGAAAAGAGCAACUGAAGAGAGCAGGGCUAUAAAGGAAGCAAUGGCAGCAAAGAAAUCAAAGAAAGUUUCAAUGUUCGAUGAGUUGAGGUGAUCUGUUCAGUUGAGUUCAUCAAGUGCUAGUUGAACUAUGUCAGUUUAUUGUUUCAGUUGAACUGGUGAUUGUUUUAAAAGCAACGACUCACUUGAAAGUAUACCGAGUGAGAGAUGCAUGUCCAGAUGCUCUCUACCUCGUGUUUUAAGUUUGGAAUUGCACAAAUUAGUUUGAGCACGAUUAUCCAGACUGUACCGGUGCCAGUUUUGUUCUCAAAGUAUGUAUAUAGAGCAUAAGAAGACUCAAAGAUGAUGCCAGUUUUAAUAGGAAUAACACUUUACUACAUA